RNAcentral lists this ribosomal RNA (637 nucleotides) under uncultured bacterium. RNAcentral describes it as "bacterial SSU rRNA". It matches the Rfam family "Bacterial small subunit ribosomal RNA", at positions 607 to 1244 of the family's 1533-position model. The record is from RNAcentral.
GCUCAACCGAAGAAGUGCAUCGGAAACUGGGAAACUUGAGUGCAGAAGAGGACAGUGGAACUCCAUGUGUAGCGGUGAAAUGCGUAGAUAUAUGGAAGAACACCAGUGGCGAAGGCGGCUGUCUGGUCUGUAACUGACGCUGAGGCUCGAAAGUAUGGGUAGCAAACAGGAUUAGAUACCCUGGUAGUCCAUACCGUAAACGAUGAAUGCUAAGUGUUGGAGGGUUUCCGCCCUUCAGUGCUGCAGCUAACGCAUUAAGCAUUCCGCCUGGGGAGUACGGCCGCAAGGCUGAAACUCAAAAGAAUUGACGGGGGCCCGCACAAGCGGUGGAGCAUGUGGUUUAAUUCGAAGCUACGCGAAGAACCUUACCAGGUCUUGACAUACUAUGCAAAUCUAAGAGAUUAGACGUUCCCUUCGGGGACAUGGACACAGGUGGUGCAUGGUUGUCGUCAGCUCGUGUCGUGAGAUGUUGGGUUAAGUCCCGCAACGAGCGCAACCCUUAUUAUCAGUUGCCAGCAUUAAGUUGGGCACUCUGGUGAGACUGCCGGUGACAAACCGGAGGAAGGUGGGGAUGACGUCAAAUCAUCAUGCCCCUUAUGACCUGGGCUACACACGUGCUACAAUGGAUGGUACAACG